CCUCGGGAGGUGCAGUGGGGAAUAUUGGACAAUGGGGGGAACCCUGAUCCAGCCAUGCCGCGUGUGUGAAGAAGGCCCUCGGGUUGUAAAGCACUUUCAGUGAGGAAGAACGCCUGGUGGUUAAUACCCAUCAGGAAAGACAUCACUCACAGAAGAAGCACCGGCUAACUCCGUGCCAGCAGCCGCGGUAAUACGGAGGGUGCGAGCGUUAAUCGGAAUUACUGGGCGUAAAGCGCGCGUAGGUGGCUUGAUAAGCCGGUUGUGAAAGCCCCGGGCUCAACCUGGGAACGGCAUCCGGAACUGUCAAGCUAGAGUGCAGGAGAGGAAGGUAGAAUUCCCGGUGUAGCGGUGAAAUGCGUAGAGAUCGGGAGGAAUACCAGUGGCGAAGGCGGCCUUCUGGACUGACACUGACACUGAGGUGCGAAAGCGUGGGUAGCAAACAGGAUUAGAUACCCCAGUAGUC
Molecule: ribosomal RNA, 463 nt
Filed under: Vreelandella stevensii
Lineage: Bacteria; Pseudomonadati; Pseudomonadota; Gammaproteobacteria; Oceanospirillales; Halomonadaceae
Description: partial 16S ribosomal RNA
Rfam family: Bacterial small subunit ribosomal RNA
Source: RNAcentral